Long non-coding RNA from Clupea harengus (Atlantic herring), 1497 nucleotides. NCBI's taxonomy places the organism in Eukaryota, Metazoa, Chordata, Actinopteri, Clupeiformes, Clupeidae. The record is from Ensembl.
GAGGAAGAGAUAGAGAGAGGUGAAAAAGAAAAGGAGCGGGACAGGGAAAGGAGUGAGUAUGCCAGAGAGAGAGAGCUAAAGACAUAGAGAGGUAAAGAGAGAGAGAGGUAAAGAGUGAGAGCUAAAGAGAGAGAGGUAAAGAGAGGGAGAGGUAAAGAGAGAGAGAGGUAAAGAUAGAGAGAGGUAAAGAGAGAGAGAGAGCUAAAGAGAGGGAGAGGUAAAGAGAGAGAUAAAGAGAGGGAGAGGUAAAGAGAGAGCUAAAGAGAGGGAGAGGUAAAGAGAGAGAUAGGUAAAGAGAGGGAGAGGUAAAGAGAGAGAUAAAGAGAGGGAGAGGUAAAGAGAGGGAGAGGUGAAGAGAGAGCUAAAGAGAGGGAGAGGUAAAGAGAGAGAUAGGUAAAGAGAGAGCUAAAGAGAGAGUUAAAGAGAAGGAGAGGUAAAGAGAGAAAUAAAGAGAGGGAGAGGUAAAGAGAGAGAUAAAGAGAAGGAGAAGAGAGAAAGUCAGAGAGCGACCCUCUCUCUCUCUCCACCCCGCUGAACUCAGUCGUAUAAUGAGCUCUCUCUCCCUCUCCCAGCUCUGAGGCUCGUUUAGAAUUCCUCUGAGCAGGUGUCUCCGUCUCUCUCUCUAUCCCUCUCUCUUGUCCGCCACUGCCGUGAUGAGGCGUAGCCACUGAACCGCAAUGAGGGAAAAGUGAGGGAUGAACAUCCCCCCCACGCUGCAGGCAAUACUAAAGUGAUUGUCAACAAACCAAGCAGAGGAAGAGGAGAGGAAGAGGGAAAGGAGAAGAAAAGACAACAUUACAUGGUUUCCUGCGAACGGUUAUUUGACGUCGGAGAGCGACGGCACCACAGCAGGACAGACCUGCCCAAGGCGGGUACGAGAGACAGGAGAGAAGGACAUGGUUUAUUUUGGGAAGGAAGUCACUGGUGUAGUGUAGUUAAUGCUCCAUCUAUGUGUGUGAGUUGGUGAGUGGGUGAGUGUGAUUGGGUAAGUGUGUGUGUGUCAGAGUGAGUGUCUGUGUCUGCCUCUAUGUGUGGCAGUAUGUGUGUAACUCAGAUGUCCUGAGUUUCAAUUACUAGACUACUUUUUUUUUUUUUUUUUGCCCUUGAAAUAGCUUUGUAGGCCUUCUCUGACCAAAGUGAGUGCUGUCAAAUAGCUUUUACUUUGCUCCCCCACAAAGCUGUGAAAAUACAUUUUCUCUUCCUCCACUCCACCUCCUACCACCUCUAAAAUCAUCGUACAGGUGAUAGUUGUUCCACCAGCUGAUAUUUCCUCCAACCUGCAGAGCUUCCAUUCUGUUACAUUUUGUAUUGUUUUCUCUUGGUCUCUGAGAUAUCUAGAUGGCCUACUAGCUUGUGUGUCCUGGAAGAGGCAGAUAUAAAAUACUGGGAUGCCUCUUGAGAAAGCGUUAGCGCUUUUGGAGAUAUGGAUACACCCAGGGGGAACAACAAGACAACAUCGCUGGACGGCACUGAAAGAGCUCCACAUCAAAGCGGGCC